AUUUUCAAGGGGUGGCCCCCCUCCCCCUCAAUCUCUAAUCAAAACCCACAUCCCUGCAAAGGCCCGUAUUCUUUUUGACGUGUAGCAUUACUCUGAAGCCAAGGAACACGGAAAGCGGUGCGCACGGAUCCCACAACAAUAUGACAUGGCAUUAUCGGUGGCGUUAAAUCGUGAGGGAUCCAGCGACACACGCGCAACCGGCACGUCGCUUCAGCUGGUCAGCGGGCACGCAAUUCCGUAGUUAUAUAGGAUCAUCAAAGCAUGCCAUUCAGUUACCUUCAAGUUUCAGCAGGUAGACAAUGCCAUUACUUCCAUGUUUGUGUUAGCUAGCUUUAUCAUUCAGUAAGUCAGCAGGUUAUUCUUAGAAACAACAUAUGGGUAGCUCAAACUAUCCAGUCAUCCAUAUGAGAAGGCGCUUUACGUACUACCACUAGAAGGUUGUUCCAGCUCGUAGCAAGUGACAGAGUCCUGACUCCGGAUC
Molecule: long non-coding RNA, 481 nt
Filed under: Hordeum vulgare
Lineage: Eukaryota; Viridiplantae; Streptophyta; Magnoliopsida; Poales; Poaceae
Description: long non-coding RNA (HVUL_LNC008479)
Source: RNAcentral